Culex quinquefasciatus (southern house mosquito) is the source of this 750-nucleotide long non-coding RNA. RefSeq lists it as uncharacterized. The transcript has 3 exons. The record is from RefSeq and is a predicted model, not a curated record. NCBI's taxonomy places the organism in Eukaryota, Metazoa, Arthropoda, Insecta, Diptera, Culicidae.
AUUCGUCCGGCUGUGAAAAAACACCGAAGAUUUUUAUAGCGAGUGGAAAAAAGGUGUUUUAUUUUGACCACUCCGCUCAAAGAACCGGUGCCCGGUUCGACAUCCCCCCGCUUCUCAACACUAUAAAAAUCUUCGACACGAUAUGCCGAAGUCCCGGAACCUGUGACCACCGCCGGCAAGAGAUGCGCGGUAAGGGCGGCACGAGGAACCUUCGGAGUCACGUCACCAUCGAGAGCGAUCUUCGGAAAUAGUUGGAGUUAGGGCAAUGGCGGCGAAAGGAGGUGACAAGAUGGAGUCGAUGAGGCAUCAAUUUGCAGAAGAGGUUGAGACGAAGUGAUCACCCGUGGCCCAUAAAUCGAGCCAAAAGUGGUCGGGCACGGGUGUGAGACGGAGGUCAACAGGCAACCUCGCAACGGUGAGUCCUCGUCGGCUUCCAGUUGCUGACGUCGCCAAGUGUACCAACGGCCAGCAAAGCAUCUCUGGGACGCGCCGCGAUGACGUAGGCGUAAAACUUCGGCUUCGGCAAAGCAGCUGUUUUACGGGGGGGAGUGUUGCGACGAACGCGUCCCUCGUACGCCCCCUGUAUCACGUCAGUGUCAUUGUUUGUUAUUGUUUACGUGGUGCCCGUGCUGUCGCUUGGCAAUCAGUCAAAAGUUGAAAACUUCUUGAGCAAGCGGGAGCACGGGCGCAGCUCGGACAUCGAGGGAUUCGUCCGGCUGUGAAAAAACACCGAAGAUUUUUAUAGCGAGU